GACGAACGCUGGCGGCGUGCUUAACACAUGCAAGUCGAACGGAAAGGCCCUGCUUUUGUGGGGUGCUCGAGUGGCGAACGGGUGAGUAACACGUGAGUAACCUGCCCUUGACUUUGGGAUAACUUCAGGAAACUGGGGCUAAUACCGGAUAGGAGCUCCUGCUGCAUGGUGGGGGUUGGAAAGUUUCGGCGGUUGGGGAUGGACUCGCGGCUUAUCAGCUUGUUGGUGGGGUAGUGGCUUACCAAGGCUUUGACGGGUAGCCGGCCUGAGAGGGUGACCGGCCACAUUGGGACUGAGAUACGGCCCAGACUCCUACGGGAGGCAGCAGUGGGGAAUAUUGCACAAUGGGCGGAAGCCUGAUGCAGCAACGCCGCGUGCGGGAUGACGGCCUUCGGGUUGUAAACCGCUUUCGCCUGUGACGAGGCGUGAGUGACGGUAAUGGGUAAAGAAGCACCGGCUAACUACGUGCCAGCAGCCGCGGUGAUACGUAGGGUGCGAGCGUUGUCCGGAUUUAUUGGGCGUAAAGGGCUCGUAGGUGGUUGAUCGCGUCGGAAGUGUAAUCUUGGGGCUUAACCCUGAGCGUGCUUUCGAUACGGGUUGACUUGAGGAAGGUAGGGGAGAAUGGAAUUCCUGGUGGAGCGGUGGAAUGCGCAGAUAUCAGGAGGAACACCAGUGGCGAAGGCGGUUCUCUGGCCUUUCCUGACGCUGAGGAGCGAAAGCGUGGGGAGCGAACAGGCUUAGAUACCCUGGUAGUCCACGCUGUAAACGGUGGGUACUAGGUGUGGGGUCCAUUCCACGGGUUCCGUGCCGUAGCUAACGCUUUAAGUACCCCGCCUGGGGAGUACGGCCGCAAGGCUAAAACUCAAAGGAAUUGACGGGGCCCCGCACAAGCGGCGGAGCAUGCGGAUUAAUUCGAUGCAACGCGUAGAACCUUACCUGGGUUUGACAUGGAUCGGGAGUGCUCAGAGAUGGGUGUGCCUCUUUUGGGGUCGGUUCACAGGUGGUGCAUGGCUGUCGUCAGCUCGUGUCGUGAGAUGUUGGGUUAAGUCCCGCAACGAGCGCAACCCUUGUUCACUGUUGCCAGCACGUUAUGGUGGGGACUCAGUGGAGACCGCCGGGGUCAACUCGGAGGAAGGUGGGGAUGACGUCAAGUCAUCAUGCCCCUUAUGUCCAGGGCUUCACGCAUGCUACAAUGGCUGGUACAGAGAGUGGCGAGCCUGUGAGGGUGAGCGAAUCUCGGAAAGCCGGUCUCAGUUCGGAUUGGGGUCUGCAACUCGACCUCAUGAAGUCGGAGUCGCUAGUAAUCGCAGAUCAGCAACGCUGCGGUGAAUACGUUCCCGGGGCUUGUACACACCGCCCGUCA
RNAcentral lists this ribosomal RNA (1363 nucleotides) under uncultured organism. RNAcentral's name for it is "16S ribosomal RNA". It matches the Rfam family "Bacterial small subunit ribosomal RNA", at positions 28 to 1399 of the family's 1533-position model. The record is from RNAcentral.